Molecule: ribosomal RNA, 484 nt
Filed under: Glomus sp.
Lineage: Eukaryota; Fungi; Glomeromycota; Glomeromycetes; Glomerales; Glomeraceae
Description: SSU rRNA
Rfam family: Eukaryotic small subunit ribosomal RNA
Source: RNAcentral
CCAAUAGCGUAUAUUAAAGUUGUUGCAGUUAAAAAGCUCGUAGUUGAAUUUCGGGAUCAGUACGUUGGUCGUGCCUUGGUACGUACUGGCGUCACUGAUUCCUCCCUUCUGAAGAACCGUCAUGCCAUUAAUUUGGUGUGGCGGGGAAUCAGGACUGUUACUUUGAAAAAAUUAGAGUGUUUAAAGCAGGCUCGCGCUUGAAUACAUUAGCAUGGAAUAAUGAAAUAGGACGUUAAUCCUAUUUUGUUGGUUUCUAGGAUCGACGUAAUGAUUAAUAGGGAUAGUUGGGGGCAUUAGUAUUCAAUUGUCAGAGGUGAAAUUCUUGGAUUUAUUGAAGACUAACUACUGCGAAAGCAUUUGCCAAGGAUGUUUUCAUUAAUCAAGAACGAAAGUUAGGGGAUCGAAGACGAUCAGAUACCGUCGUAGUCUUAACCAUAAACUAUGCCGACUAGGGAUCGGAUGAUGUUAAUUUUUUAAUGACUCA